GGUAGCUUGCUACCUGACCUAGCGGCGGACGGGUGAGUAAUGCUUAGGAAUCUGCCUAUUAGUGGGGGACAACAUUCCGAAAGGAAUGCUAAUACCGCAUACGCCCUACGGGGGAAAGCAGGGGAUCUUCGGACCUUGCGCUAAUAGAUGAGCCUAAGUCAGAUUAGCUAGUUGGUGGGGUAAAGGCCUACCAAGGCGACGAUCUGUAGCGGGUCUGAGAGGAUGAUCCGCCACACUGGGACUGAGACACGGCCCAGACUCCUACGGGAGGCAGCAGUGGGGAAUAUUGGACAAUGGGCGAAAGCCUGAUCCAGCCAUGCCGCGUGUGUGAAGAAGGCCUUUUGGUUGUAAAGCACUUUAAGCGAGGAGGAGGCUACUUGGAUUAAUACUCUAGGAUAGUGGACGUUACUCGCAGAAUAAGCACCGGCUAACUCUGUGCCAGCAGCCGCGGUAAUACAGAGGGUGCGAGCGUUAAUCGGAUUUACUGGGCGUAAAGCGUGCGUAGGCGGCUUUUUAAGUCGGAUGUGAAAUCCCUGAGCUUAACUUAGGAAUUGCAUUCGAUACUGGGAAGCUAGAGUAUGGGAGAGGAUGGUAGAAUUCCAGGUGUAGCGGUGAAAUGCGUAGAGAUCUGGAGGAAUACCGAUGGCGAAGGCAGCCAUCUGGCCUAAUACUGACGCUGAGGUACGAAAGCAUGGGGAGCAAACAGGAUUAGAUACCCUGGUAGUCCAUGCCGUAAACGAUGUCUACUAGCCGUUGGGGCCUUUGAGGCUUUAGUGGCGCAGCUAACGCGAUAAGUAGACCGCCUGGGGAGUACGGUCGCAAGACUAAAACUCAAAUGAAUUGACGGGGGCCCGCACAAGCGGUGGAGCAUGUGGUUUAAUUCGAUGCAACGCGAAGAACCUUACCUGGUCUUGACAUAGUAAGAACUUUCCAGAGAUGGAUUGGUGCCUUCGGGAACUUACAUACAGGUGCUGCAUGGCUGUCGUCAGCUCGUGUCGUGAGAUGUUGGGUUAAGUCCCGCAACGAGCGCAACCCUUUUCCUUAUUUGCCAGCGGGUUAAGCCGGGAACUUUAAGGAUACUGCCAGUGACAAACUGGAGGAAGGCGGGGACGACGUCAAGUCAUCAUGGCCCUUACGACCAGGGCUACACACGUGCUACAAUGGUCGGUACAAAGGGUUGCUACCUAGCGAUAGGAUGCUAAUCUCAAAAAGCCGAUCGUAGUCCGGAUUGGAGUCUGCAACUCGACUCCAUGAAGUCG
This 1259-nucleotide ribosomal RNA is filed under the name uncultured Acinetobacter sp. Its description in RNAcentral is "bacterial SSU rRNA". It matches the Rfam family "Bacterial small subunit ribosomal RNA", at positions 74 to 1328 of the family's 1533-position model. Lineage: Bacteria; Pseudomonadati; Pseudomonadota; Gammaproteobacteria; Moraxellales; Moraxellaceae. The record is from RNAcentral.